GAUCUUGUGUCUGUCUGUCUGUAAAGAUGUUUGUCGUAAUCCGGGGGGAAUAAUUAAGCUUCAGGAACGUUUGUUAAAUGAGGGGAGCGGUCAAAACACGAAGAUUUUCAAGCUUUUAAAUACGGAUCACAAGACAGCAAGAGAUCAAAAAUAUUCGGAAACAUUCAGGUAAGUUCGGCUCUAUUUUUUUCUUGUUAUAUACAUCAGGCAAUGACAUUUUUAGUGUUCAAUCUAGAGGCAAACAAUGUGCUUUUAUGAGUUUAUCAGCACUUUUAACUGCCCAAAAUAUACCACUGAUCGAUUGGUCAAAAACAACAUUUAAUCGUCUUAUUACAAGGAGACAAAAUGUACUUGCAAGCUCUCGAUAAUGGCUUUGUUGUCUUAGAAACUGCCCAAAAUAUACCACUGAUCGAUUGGUCAAAAACAACAUUUAUAAAUAAUGUCUUAUUUAUACAAGUCCUGAGACAAAAUGUACUUGUAAGCUCUGUCUUAGAACCUGCUGUCGAAUUCUUAUCUGUCGAUAAUUUACCUAAACUUGUCAGUGUUUCAAGUUGUAUACAAACAUGUUUCUUACAAGAUAUGUGAUUCUGUGAUCGACACAAGAAAUAUACCACAUGUAGUGUAUGCAAAAACAACUAUAACGCCUGUGAAUCCUUUUGAUACACAAAAUAAUGAUACUAUAAACAGUCUGCCCAUGGUGGUAGGACAAAAUAAUAACAUUCUAUAUCCAUUGUAGUAGAGUCCAUUGAGGCAAAAAUAUCAUGGAUCUGCCUAUUGUGGUAGAGCCCAUUCAAGGCAAAAACUAUAGAUCUGCCCAUUGUGCCAAUGUGGUAGAGCCCAUUGAGGCAAAAACUAUAGAUCUGCCCAUUGUGGUAGAGGCCAUUGAGACAAAAACUAUAUAUCUGUCCAUUGUGGUAUCUAGUGCCCAUUGAGGCAAAAACCAUUGAUCUGCCUGUGGUCUAGCCCAUUGAGGCACCAACUAUCAGCGAUCUGCCCCAGAGAAUCGAUAAUAGCGGGCAGAUAUUCAUAUAUUCGUGUUCACAGACUGUAAAAACAAUCGACUUCAAAAGAAAUUAAUUGGGCAGAACACGAAUAUAUGAAUAUCUGCCCUCCCCCCAAUUAUCGAUAUUCCGGCGCCUCUGAUCUGCCCAUUGCGAUGGAGCCCAUUGAGGCACCAACUAUCAGACUAGGGGUCAGCCAGGGGGGGGGGGUCGUAGUAUCCUAAAGAGCUGAUAAAUAUGGAUCAAAAUACCUAUUAUUAUGGUCAAAAUGUUACAUAAUACCUAAAGCAAUCAGAAGCUGUAUACCAGACCUAAUACCCCAAAUUAGUCAUAACAUUUAAAGUAAAUAUACAGUAUACUCGAAUUAAGUACCAUUGGACCCUAUAUACAGUACACAAAACCCUAUGGCCGACCCUACAGACUGCUCUGCCCAUUGUGGUGGAGCCCAUUGAGGCACCAACUAUCAGUGAUCUGCCAUUAUGUGCAAAGGCAAUGAGUUUGUAGUGUUCCAUUUCUAGAUGUUUAUAGCUUUAAACAAAUGUUGUCUGCACAUAUAUUGACUUACAGCAAUUACAUGUAAUAUUACUAACAUUUUAACUGACUUUUGUAUAAGAUCUGAGAUAUGUCCAUUGUUAGCAUAAUAUGAAAUAAUUCUAGUGGCCUACAUAUGGCUGUGUCACUACGAUAAUGCUCACAAUUUCUUUCUUAUCAUAUAUUUUUGCAGUUCUGACUGAGAACAAUCUUAAUCAUGUCAAUGAAUGGUGUCAUCUGAAGCAUAUUAAACAGAAAUGUCAGCAAAUACAUUUUGUCUACCCAUCGGCAGAUUGUUCGGUUGGUCUGUGAAGGGGAAGCCAUGAAGGUGGCAUUACAUGUAAAACGAUAAUUGGAACAAAAACCGACUUUAUAGUAUUUUUAUAUAAACAUUGUUCUGUAUUCAGUGGCAAACUCACACAUGUGAUCACCAAGUUUAUACUUUAUAGUGCACUUUUUAUAAGAUGAGAUGUAAGAUACAAUCAGGGACGCCGGAACUGGGGGGGGGCAGGAAGGGCAGCCGCCCCCGUUGCCCUUUACCAGGAGGGGCAAGGGAGGCAAAGGUGUCCUUUCAAUUUAAAGGAUUGCCUUGGCAAAAUAGCAAAUUGUCAGAAAUGUUAGUGCAAUUCUUUUACUAAUUUGCUUCAGAAAACGCAAGAAAUACAGUCAUCGAGCUUCAAGAAUAGCAUAAUCGCCUGGCAGAGAACCCCCUCACACCCCUAUCAUCCAAUAUAUAGAAAACAUGAUUAGGUGAAGUUCAACUCCCGAUGUUUUGCAAACAUCUCUUAGUAUAUAUCAAUUCAAAAGUGCCCUUUCACCAAAAUCUGCCACCCUUGCCUUCACAUCGUUCCGGCGUCCCUGGAUACAAUUGUAGAAGGUAAUUGAUGUAGAACAUGUGUAAGACAUUAAAUCAUACAUACAGUGAAAAAGACACUUUUUGGUUGUAGUACAUCCUGCAUGUACAUAUCGGCAGCAUUUUACUUGCGAU
RNAcentral lists this long non-coding RNA (2520 nucleotides) under Paramuricea clavata. The record is from RNAcentral. Lineage: Eukaryota; Metazoa; Cnidaria; Anthozoa; Malacalcyonacea; Plexauridae.